Molecule: ribosomal RNA, 491 nt
Filed under: uncultured bacterium
Lineage: Bacteria
Description: partial 16S ribosomal RNA
Rfam family: Bacterial small subunit ribosomal RNA
Source: RNAcentral
UGGGGAAUAUUGCACAAUGGGCGAAAGCCUGAUGCAGCAACGCCGCGUGAGUGAUGAAGGUCUUCGGAUUGUAAAGCUCUGUCUUUUGGGACGAUAAUGACGGUACCAAAGGAGGAAGCCACGGCUAACUACGUGCCAGCAGCCGCGGUAAUACGUAGGUGGCGAGCGUUGUCCGGAUUUACUGGGCGUAAAGGGUGCGUAGGCGGAUGUUUAAGUGAGAUGUGAAAUACCCGGGCUUAACUUGGGUGCUGCAUUUCAAACUGGAUAUCUAGAGUGCAGGAGAGGAGAAUGGAAUUCCUAGUGUAGCGGUGAAAUGCGUAGAGAUUAGGAAGAACACCAGUGGCGAAGGCGAUUCUCUGGACUGUAACUGACGCUGAGGCACGAAAGCGUGGGUAGCAAACAGGAUUAGAUACCCUGGUAGUCCACGCCGUAAAACGAUGAGUACUAGGUGUAGGAGGUAUCGACCCCUUCUGUGCCGCAGUAAACACAUU